RNAcentral lists this long non-coding RNA (1505 nucleotides) under Macaca fascicularis (crab-eating macaque). RNAcentral's name for it is "lncRNA (ENSMFAG00000051595.1)". The record is from RNAcentral. Lineage: Eukaryota; Metazoa; Chordata; Mammalia; Primates; Cercopithecidae.
UUUUUUUUUUUUUUUUCUUGAGACAGAGUCUUGCUCUGUCGCCCAGGCUGGAGUGCAGUGGCGAGAUCUUGGCUCACUGCAACCUCCGCCCCCUGAGUUCAAGUGAUUCUCCUGCCUUGGCCUCCCAAGUAGCUGGGACUAUAGGUGCCCACCACCUCGCCUGGCUAGUUUUUGUAUUUUUAAUAGAGAUGGGUUUUCACCAUGUAGGCUGGUCUUGAACUCCUGAUCUCAAGUGACCUUCCUGUCUUGGCCUCCCAAAGUGCUGGGAUUACAGGCGUGAGCCACUGCGCCCGGCCGACUUUUUUUUUUUAAGAUCAGAGGACGGAGUUGUCUCUAGGUCUGUUCCUGCCCCUAAAAAACCACGUGGGUAUGGGUGGGUCACCCUCCUCCUGGGGCCUCAUUUUUCUCAUCUGAACAAUAGAGAUACGCCGUUUUCUUUCUUUCUCUCUGUCUCUCUCUCUCUCUCAUUUUCUCUCUUUCUUCAUCUUUUUUUGAGAGAGUCUCAAACUUAAUCUUAAAUUUGUCUGUCACCCAGGCUGGAGUGCGGUGGCUCGACCAUGGUUUACUGUGGCCUCGUGAACCUGGGCUUAGGUGAUCCUCCCACCUCAACCUCCCAGGUAGGUGAGACUACAGGCACACACCAUCACACCCAGCUAAUUUUUUUUUUUUUUUUUUUAAUUGAGACGGGGUUUUGCCAUGUUGCCCAGGCUGGUCUCGAAUUCCUGGUGAAAUCGCUUUACAAAUUUAUGACUGAAAUAGUGAGACAGAUCUAACUUAACCGACUCCAUCUUGCUUCUAACCUCCAAGCUGUCCUUGAUCAUUCCGGCUGAACUAACUUUGGGAGAAACUUAGUUUAUAGUUUAUAAUUUAAACAAAGAUGGUAAAGGCAGUAACAGCCCUUUCCCAAAGCAGACCUCCUUCUUGCCUGGUGACUAGAUUACCUUUGUAGGACUCACAUUCGCCACAGAUUAGAAAUUAUGGUUUAGGAGUCAUGCAGCUGGAGGUUACAAGAUUCUAACCCCACCCUAAACUGCUCCUAAAAUCAGUGCUUGAGAUAUUUUGCAGACCGUGUACUUGAUGAAUCAGCUAGUACCACCCAGAUCAAUAAACUGGCUCAUCUGAUCUUGUGGCCCCUACCCAGGAACUGACUCAGCACAAGAAGACAGCUUUAGCUCCCUAUGAUUUCAUCUCUGACCAGUCAGCAGUCCGGGCUCACUGGCUUCCCCCCACCCACCAAGUUAUCCUUAAAAACUCCGCUCCCGGAAUGCUUAGGGAGACUGAUUUGAGUUAUAAUAAAACUCUGGUCUCCCGCACAGCCAGCCCUACAUGAAUUACCCUUUCUCUAUUGCAAUUCCCCUGUCUUGAUGAGUCGGCUCUGUCUAGGCAGUGGGCAAGGUUAACCCCUUGGACGGUAACCCAAGGCAAUCCUCCUGCCUUGGCCUUGUUUUUUUAUUUCUUUAUGUACCUGUCUACCAUUGGAUUAUAAUCCCUUCAGGUCAGGGCCC